GACGAACGCUGGCGGCGUGCUUAACACAUGCAAGUCGAACGGAAAGGCCCUGCUUGUGUGGGGUGCGCGAGUGGCGAACGGGUGAGUAACACGUGAGUAACCAGCCCUGGAGGUUGGGAUAACGUCAGGAAACUGGGGCCAAUACCGGAUAGGAGCUCCUGCUGCAGGGAGGGGGUUGGAAAGUUUCGGCGGGUGGGGAUGGACUCGCGGCUUAUCGGCUUGUUGGUGGGGUAGUGGCUUACCAAGGCGUUGGAGGGUCGCCGGCCUGAGAGGGUGACCGGCCACCUUGGGACUGAGGUGAGGCACAGGCUCCUACGGGAGGCCGCAGUGGGGAAUCUUGCCCCAUGGGCGGCAGGCUGGUGCAGCAGCCCCGCGUGCGGGAUGCCGGCCUUCGGGUUGUCAACCGCUUUCGCCUGUGUCGCAGCCUGUGUGACCGUAAUGGGUAAAGAAGCCCCGGCUAACUACGUG
Molecule: ribosomal RNA, 468 nt
Filed under: uncultured bacterium
Lineage: Bacteria
Description: partial 16S ribosomal RNA
Rfam family: Bacterial small subunit ribosomal RNA
Source: RNAcentral